GGGACUUUGGACUUUGUCAUCAGC
RNAcentral lists this microRNA (24 nucleotides) under Eisenia fetida (common brandling worm). RNAcentral's name for it is "Efe-Novel-2_5p* (star (passenger))". The record is from RNAcentral. Lineage: Eukaryota; Metazoa; Annelida; Clitellata; Crassiclitellata; Lumbricidae.